UAUAGUAUAAAUAUAAAUGUUCAAAAUUUAAACAUCAGUCGUCUGCAGUAAUCAAAAGCGCAUAUCACUAAAAUGAAUUUGUGAUAUAGACGACUCAGUUUUAUUAUAAUGAAGAACAUAUUUGGAAUUCAAUAGACAAUAGAUGUUAGAAGAAAUUAAGCCGAAGUACCCUUGAGUACUGGCCUUUGAUCAAUGAGCGAAUUACAAAUACAAACCACCAGCACCCAAUAGAUGUUAGACUUGCGGAUUCUGCCCGAGGUUGGUCUACGGGUGCGCUGGAUCGUUUUUGAAACUGGUGGAUUACCACGACAACACGAUUCUACGUUGUGAAGGCUGUCUCCCUAAUUCACUUUUCUAGGAACAAAAAAGAGGGAAUGUUCCGUGACUUGAUUCAGCACCGUAGAUCAUAGGAUUUAAGUCAUCCGAGCAUCGCAUUUAAGGGCCGCGUAGAAAUAAAUGCAAAACUUAUCGUUCCUGCAUGAACUUUCUUUUUUUUUGUUUAGUAGGGUUUCAGUCGCCACAGCCCGAAGAGCAUCAUCUGUGGGGGGAUCGGAAGGUUUAACACCAACACAAACGAUGUUGCCGCAUUUGACAGGAAACACUAUAUUCUUGGACUUUCAUUUUAUAUUCUCAUGUUCUACAGAAGAAUUCGCUAUUCAAAAUUUGUCAAAACAGUAUUUAACAACAUUUAUCUUUAAUAAUUAGUAAUGAUUUUAGUGUAGGUUCUAUGUUACUUGUAACAUAUUAUAAAAAAGAAAAAUUAUUCAAAAUCUUUUUAUAAAAAAAACCGUCAGUUCUUGAGAAUAUAAAAUGAAGGACAUCGCGUCCUAAAAUAAGGCUUGUUAUAAUUAAUUAAGCGUCCAUGAUAUAUGACUUUAAUAUAUCAUAGUUUUAGUAUUAAAUUAAUGUGUAAUAAUUGAGAUAUUAAAUAGUUUUAAAUAAAUUUUUAACGAGAAUAUAAUGCGCCUAAUUUUGGGGAUAUCGAAUUUUGAAGCAAGAGAUGCAUCUAUCAGAAUAUCGGUAACUUGUCUCUGACAAAAUGACGCUCGAAAAAUAUUAAAUCUCAAGUAGGUGAUAACAUUAAAGCCCUACCGACGAGUCGUAAACGACGAAACAGAAUACGCUAUAUUAUGUAUUUUUGUAUAGGGAUGAAAAAUUUAAUAUUUUCUUAUCAAAAACUAAAAAAAACAUUCAAGAGAUCAAAGGCAUAAUUAGUUUUAAGUAGAAACAGCGUUUUUUUGCAGAUGCAUCGCUUGAAAGAUAGUAUGUAAUGUUGCUAGAUUGUAGGUAGGGUCAAAAGAAUAUUUAUAUUUCCUGUUAACCGCACAACCAAUAAAUCACUGUUCUACAUUGUAAUAAAACUGUGUAAAAAUA
Molecule: long non-coding RNA, 1374 nt
Organism: Sitophilus oryzae (rice weevil)
Lineage: Eukaryota; Metazoa; Arthropoda; Insecta; Coleoptera; Curculionidae
Exons: 3
Source: RefSeq, a predicted model, not a curated record